This 411-nucleotide ribosomal RNA is filed under the name uncultured bacterium. Its description in RNAcentral is "bacterial SSU rRNA". It matches the Rfam family "Bacterial small subunit ribosomal RNA", at positions 64 to 507 of the family's 1533-position model. The record is from RNAcentral.
GAACGAGAAAGUGGAGCAAUCCAUGAGUAAAGUGGCGACCGGGUGAGUAACACGUGACUAACCUACCUCCGAGUGGGGAAUAACUCCGGGAAACCGGGGCUAAUACCGCAUAACACCGCAAGAUCAAAGCAGCAAUGCGCUUGGAGAGGGGGUCGCGGCUGAUUAGCUCGUUGGCGGGGUAACGGCCCACCAAGGCGAAGAUCGGUAUCCGGCCUGAGAGGGCGCACGGACACACUGGAACUGAAACACGGUCCAGACUCCUACGGGAGGCAGCAGUGGGGAAUUUUGCGCAAUGGGGGAAACCCUGACGCAGCAACGCCGCGUGGAGGAUGAAGUCCCUUGGGACGUAAACUCCUUUCGAUCGGGACGAUAAUGACGGUACCGGAAGAAGAAGCACCGGCUAACUCUGUG